AGCCUAUAUACCGCCGUCGUCAGCUUACCCUGUGAAGGUAAUAAAAGUAAGCAAAAUGGGUACAACCCAGAACGUCAGGUCGAGGUGUAGCGCAUGAAGUGGAAAGAAAUGGGCUACAUUUUCUACCACAGAAUAUUACGAACAUGCACCAUGAAACAAUGCUUGAAGGAGGAUUUAGUAGUAAAAAGGAAAUAGAGUGUCCUUUUGAACCCGGCUCUGAGACGCGUACACACCGCCCGUCACUCUCCCCUGUCAAAACGCACCCAAAAUACCUAAUAAAACAGCACUGACAAGGGGAGGCAAGUCGUAACACGGUAAGUGUACCGGAAGGUGCACUUGGAUCAAACC
This 348-nucleotide ribosomal RNA is filed under the name Labeo rohita (rohu). RNAcentral describes it as "partial 12S ribosomal RNA". It matches the Rfam family "Bacterial small subunit ribosomal RNA", at positions 1036 to 1529 of the family's 1533-position model. The record is from RNAcentral. Lineage: Eukaryota; Metazoa; Chordata; Actinopteri; Cypriniformes; Cyprinidae.